This 856-nucleotide ribosomal RNA is filed under the name uncultured bacterium. RNAcentral describes it as "bacterial SSU rRNA". It matches the Rfam family "Bacterial small subunit ribosomal RNA", at positions 524 to 1380 of the family's 1533-position model. The record is from RNAcentral.
UACGGAGGGUGCAAGCGUUACUCGGAAUCACUGGGCGUAAAGCGCGCGCAGGCGGCUAUUUAAGUUGGAUGUGAAAGCCUACGGCUCAACCGUAGAACUGCAUCCAAAACUAUUUAGCUAGAGUGUGGGAGAGGAAGAUGGAAUUAGUUGUGUAGGGGUAAAAUCCGUAGAGAUAACUAGGAAUACCAAAAGCGAAGGCAAUCUUCUGGAACACUACUGACGCUGAGGCGCGAAAGCGUGGGGAGCAAACAGGAUUAGAUACCCUGGUAGUCCACGCAGUAAACGAUGAAUGUUAGUCGUCGGGGGCCUAGUGUCUUCGGUGAUGCAGCUAACGCAUUAAACAUUCCGCCUGGGGAGUACGGUCGCAAGAUUAAAACUCAAAGGAAUAGACGGGGACCCGCACAAGUGGUGGAGCAUGUGGUUUAAUUCGAAGAUACGCGAAGAACCUUACCUAGCCUUGACAUAUUUUAGAACUCCGUAGAGAUACAGAGGUGCCUUCGGGAGCUAAUUUACAGGUGCUGCACGGCUGUCGUCAGCUCGUGUCGUGAGAUGUUGGGUUAAGUCCCGCAACGAGCGCAACCCUCGUCACUAGUUACUAACGGUUAGGCCGAGGACUCUAGUGAGACUGCCUUCGUAAGGAGGAGGAAGGUGAGGACGACGUCAAGUCAUCAUGGCCCUUACGGCUAGGGCAACACACGUGCUACAAUGGUUAGGACAAUGAGAAGCAAUAUCGCGAGGUGGAGCAAAUCUAUAAACCUAAUCUCAGUUCGGAUUGUAGUCUGCAACUCGACUACAUGAAGCUGGAAUCACUAGUAAUCGUAGAUCAGCUAUGCUACGGUGAAUACGUUCCCGGGUC